GAGUCUAUCGGUGGGAACAUCGUGGAGACCCCAUGCUGAUGACUCCUACUGUUGCUUCGGCGGGAUUGCCCCGGGCGCCUCGUGUGCCCCGGAUCAGGCGCCCGCCUAGGAAACUCAACUCUUGUUUUAUUUUGGAAUCUUCUGAGUAGUUUUUACAAAUAAAUAAAAACUUUCAACAACGGAUCUCUUGGUUCUGGCAUCGAUGAAGAACGCAGCGAAAUGCGAUAAGUAAUGUGAAUUGCAGAAUUCAGUGAAUCAUCGAAUCUUUGAACGCACAUUGCGCCCGCCAGUAUUCUGGCGGGCAUGCCUGUCUGAGCGUCAUUUCAACCCUCAUGCCCCUAGGGCGUGGUGUUGGGGAUCGGCCAAAGCCCGCGAGGGACGGCCGGCCCCUAAAUCUAGUGGCGGACCCGUCGUGGCCUCCCCUGCGAAGUAGUGAUAUUCCGCAUCGGAGAGCGACGAGCCCCUGCCGUUAAACCCCCAACUUUCCAAGGUUGACCUCAGAUCAGGUAGGAAUACCCGCUGAACUUAAGCAUAUCAAUAAGCGGAGGAA
Molecule: ribosomal RNA, 550 nt
Filed under: fungal endophyte
Lineage: Eukaryota; Fungi
Description: eukaryotic LSU rRNA
Rfam family: 5.8S ribosomal RNA (bases 168-321)
Source: RNAcentral